Molecule: ribosomal RNA, 271 nt
Filed under: uncultured bacterium
Lineage: Bacteria
Description: partial 16S ribosomal RNA
Rfam family: Bacterial small subunit ribosomal RNA
Source: RNAcentral
GACUCCGUACGGGAGGCAGCAGUGGGGAAUAUUGCACAAUGGGGGAAACCCUGAUGCAGCCAUGCCGCGUGUGUGAAGAAGGCCUUCGGGUUGUAAAGCACUUUCAGUCAGGGAGGAAGGUAGUGUAGUUAACCACCUUGCACUAUUUGACGUUAACCUACAGAAGAAGUCACCGGCUAACUCCGUGCCAGCAGCCGCGGUAAUAACGGAGGGUGCGAGCGUUAAUCGGAAUUACUGGGCGUAAAGCGCAUGCAGGCGGCCUGUUAAGUCA